AGUUCCAUAGUGUAGUGGUUAUCACGUUCGCCUAACACGCGAAAGGUCCCCGUUUCAAGCCCGGGUGGAACUA
Molecule: transfer RNA, 73 nt
Filed under: Hydra vulgaris (swiftwater hydra)
Lineage: Eukaryota; Metazoa; Cnidaria; Hydrozoa; Anthoathecata; Hydridae
Rfam family: tRNA
About the family: Transfer RNA (tRNA) molecules are approximately 80 nucleotides in length.
Source: Rfam by way of RNAcentral